Herpailurus yagouaroundi (jaguarundi) is the source of this 308-nucleotide long non-coding RNA. RefSeq lists it as uncharacterized. The transcript has 3 exons. The record is from RefSeq and is a predicted model, not a curated record. NCBI's taxonomy places the organism in Eukaryota, Metazoa, Chordata, Mammalia, Carnivora, Felidae.
AUGGAGAGAGAAGACCUAGUGACAGAGGUGAAGUCCAAAGAGAGAGUGACAAAGAAUGAAAUACUAUGAUCCUCUUUACUUGCUCAGAUUAACACUUCGGACCUCACAGUUCUGAGGAAUUUGAAGUUAUCUGUGCUGAGGACCUAUAACUUUCUGGAAGAAAAAAAAAAAGAUCAAACAGGAGCACAGACUUCUUAAGGAAGAUCUUUUGCAGUUAAUGAGUCCCCACGCAGCUGGACAGCUCCUCUCGGACACUGAGAACUCUAACCCCAAAAUGACCCCAAUUUGACACCGCAAGAUGAAAUUUU